RNAcentral lists this ribosomal RNA (1509 nucleotides) under uncultured rumen bacterium. Its description in RNAcentral is "bacterial SSU rRNA". It matches the Rfam family "Bacterial small subunit ribosomal RNA". The record is from RNAcentral.
AGAGUUUGAUCCUGGCUCAGGACGAACGCUGGCGGCGUGCCUAACACAUGCAAGUCGAACGGGGAUUUUGUUUCGGCAGAAUCCUAGUGGCGAACGGGUGAGUAACGCGUAGGCAACCUGCCCUCCGGCCGGGGACAACACUCCGAAAGGGGUGCUAAUACCGGAUACGAAGUCUGUGCCGCAUGGUACGGAUUUGAAAGAUGGCCUCUAUUUAUAAGCUAUCGCCGGGGGAUGGGCCUGCGUCCGAUUAGCUGGUUGGUGGGGUAACGGCCUACCAAGGCGACGAUCGGUAGCCGGUCUGAGAGGAUGAACGGCCACAUUGGGACUGAGACACGGCCCAGACUCCUACGGGAGGCAGCAGUGGGGAAUCUUCCGCAAUGGGCGCAAGCCUGACGGAGCAACGCCGCGUGAGUGAGGAAGUUCUUCGGAACGUAAAGCUCUGUUGUUCCUGACGAACCUCCCUUCUAUCAACAACGGAGGGGACUGACGGUAGGGAACGAGGAAGCCACGGCUAACUACGUGCCAGCAGCCGCGGUAAUACGUAGGUGGCAAGCGUUGUCCGGAAUUAUUGGGCGUAAAGCGCAUGUAGGCGGUAAUUUAAGUCUGUCGUGAAACUGCGGGGCUCAGCCCCGUAUGGCGAUGGAAACUGGGUUACUUGAGUGCAGGAGAGGAAAGGGGAACUCYCAGUGUAGCGGUGAAAUGCGUAGAUAUUGGGAAGAACACCGGUGGCGAASGCGCCUUUCUGGACUGUGUCUGACGCUGAGAUGCGAAAGCCAGGGUAGCGAACGGGAUUAGAUACYCCGGUAGUCCUGGACCGUAAACGAUGGGUACUAGGUGUGGGAGGUAUCGACCCCUUCCGUGCCGGAGUUAACGCAAUAAGUACCCCGCCUGGGGAGUACGGCCGCAAGGCUUAAACUCAAAGGAAUUGACGGGGGCCCGCACAAGCGGAGGAACAUGUGGUUUAAUUCGAUGAUACGCGAGGAACCUUACCCGGGCUUGAACUGCAGCAGAACGAUUGAGAGAUCAUGAGGUCCUUCGGGACUGCUGUGGAGGUGCUGCAUGGUUGUCGUCAGCUCGUGCCGUGAGGUGUCGGCUUAAGUGCCAUAACGAGCGCAACCCCUCUCUUCAGUUGCCAUCACUUCGGGUGGGCACUCUGGAGACACUGCCACCGUAAGGUGUGAGGAAGGUGGGGAUGACGUCAAAUCAGCACGGCCCUUACGUCCGGGGCUACACACGUGUUACAAUGGGUGGUACAGAGCGUCGGCCGCCGGCAACGUCGGUCCAAUCGUGAAAUCCAUCCUCAGUUCGGACUGGGGUCUGCAACCCGACCCCACGAAGCUGGAUUCGCUAGUAAUCGCGCAUCAGCCAUGGCGCGGUGAAUACGUUCCCGGGCCUUGUACACACCGCCCGUCAAGCCAUGAAAGCCGGGGGCGCCUGAAGUCCGUGACCGCGAGGGUCGGCCUAGGGUGAAACCGGUGAUUGGGGCUAAGUCGUAACAAGGUAGCCGUA